RNAcentral lists this transfer RNA (77 nucleotides) under Vicugna pacos (alpaca). RNAcentral describes it as "tRNA-Ala (AGC) (tRNA-Ala-AGC-573-1)". The stretch from base 13 to 69 matches the Rfam family "tRNA", at positions 8 to 63 of the family's 71-position model. From Rfam's summary of the family: Transfer RNA (tRNA) molecules are approximately 80 nucleotides in length. Their secondary structure includes four short double-helical elements and three loops (D, anti-codon, and T loops). The record is from RNAcentral. Lineage: Eukaryota; Metazoa; Chordata; Mammalia; Artiodactyla; Camelidae.
GGGGGUGGGUAAUAGCUCAGUGGUAGAGUGUAUGCUUAGCAUGCAUGAGGUCCUGGGUUCAAUCCCCAGCACCUCCA